Molecule: non-coding RNA, 633 nt
Organism: Pelobates cultripes (western spadefoot toad)
Lineage: Eukaryota; Metazoa; Chordata; Amphibia; Anura; Pelobatidae
Source: the annotation of a GenBank genome assembly
GUCACAGUCACACACAGUCACAGCCUCACACACAGUCACAGCCAAGCACACAGCCUCACACACACACACAGGCAGUCACAGUCACACACACACACAGUCACACACACACAGAUGUAGUCACAGGCCUCGGCCAAUACUACUACCACAGGCAGCCUCACAGUCACACACACACAGGUGGCAGUCACAGUCACACACACACAGUCACACACACACAGACAGUCACACACACAGACAGUCACACACAGUCACACACACACACAGUCACACACACACACAGGUAGUCACAGUCAUACACACAGACAGUCACACACACAGUCACACACACACACAGACAGUCACACACACACACAGGCAGUCACAGUCACACACACAUAGACAGUCACACACACACAGUCACACACACAAACAGACAGUCACACACACACACACACACAGUCACACAGACAGUCACACACUCACAGACAGUCACACACUCACAGACAGUCACACACUGACCUCCUUCUUACCUCCUGCUUGGAGCUCCUGGAGGCUGGUUGUUGGGGAAGCAGGGACUCCUUCCUGCUUCCCAUGCUGCAAUUAGCCGGCCCCGCCGCACAGUAAGCUCCGCCUCAGCCGCACGCUAAGCCCCGCCCC